UGGGGAAUUUUGGACAAUGGGCGAAAGCCUGAUCCAGCAAUGCCGCGUGUGUGAAGAAGGCCUUCGGGUUGUAAAGCACUUUUGUCCGGAAAGAAAUCCUUGGCUCUAAUACAGUCGGGGGAUGACGGUACCGGAAGAAUAAGCACCGGCUAACUACGUGCCAGCAGCCGUGGUAAUACGUAGGGUGCAAGCGUUAAUCGGAAUUACUGGGCGUAAAGCGUGCGCAGGCGGUUUGCUAAGACCGAUGUGAAAUCCCCGGGCUCAACCUGGGAACUGCAUUGGUGACUGGCAGGCUAGAGUAUGGCAGAGGGGGGUAGAAUUCCACGUGUAGCAGUGAAAUGCGUAGAGAUGUGGAGGAAUACCGAUGGCGAAGGCAGCCCCCUGGGCCAAUACUGACGCUCAUGCACGAAAGCGUGGGGAGCAAACAGGAUUAGAUACCCUGGUAGUCCACGCCCUAAACGAUGUCAACUAGUUGUUGGGGAUUCAUUUCCUUAGUAACGUAGCUAACGCGUGAAGUUGACCGCCUGGGGAGUACGGUCGCAAGAUUAAAACUUAAAGGAAUUGACGGGGUCAUAGCUGUUUCCU
This 585-nucleotide ribosomal RNA is filed under the name uncultured bacterium. RNAcentral's name for it is "partial 16S ribosomal RNA". It matches the Rfam family "Bacterial small subunit ribosomal RNA", at positions 355 to 1375 of the family's 1533-position model. The record is from RNAcentral.